UGGCAGUGUAGUUAGCUGGUUGCUAUAAUGUGGGUGCAAUCACUAACGACAAUCGCCAGC
Molecule: microRNA precursor, 60 nt
Filed under: Eptatretus burgeri (inshore hagfish)
Lineage: Eukaryota; Metazoa; Chordata; Myxini; Myxiniformes; Myxinidae
Description: Ebu-Mir-34-P2a_pre stem-loop
Source: RNAcentral